Molecule: ribosomal RNA, 327 nt
Filed under: uncultured eukaryote
Lineage: Eukaryota
Description: partial 18S ribosomal RNA
Rfam family: Eukaryotic small subunit ribosomal RNA
Source: RNAcentral
CCCUUAGAUGUUCUGGGCCGCACGCGCGCUACACUGACGAAUGCAACGAGCUUAUAACCUUGGCCGAAAGGUCUGGGUAAUCUCCAAAUUUCGUCGUGAUGGGGAUAGAUUAUUGCAAUUAUUAAUCUUCAACGAGGAAUGCCUAGUAAGCGCAAGUCAUCAGCUUGCGUUGAUUACGUCCCUGCCCUUUGUACACACCGCCCGUCGCUCCUCCCGAUUGAAUGGUCCGGUGAAGCGUUCGGACCGUGGCCUUUGGACGGUUCGCCGUCUGUUGGCUGCGGGAAGUUCGUUAAACCUUAUCAUUUAGAGGAAGGAGAANUCGUANCA